GCCCCAGUGGCCUAAUGGAUAAGGCAUUGGCCUCCUGAGCGGGGGAUGGUAGGUUCGAGUCCCAGCUGGGGUG
Molecule: non-coding RNA, 73 nt
Organism: Fukomys damarensis (Damara mole-rat)
Lineage: Eukaryota; Metazoa; Chordata; Mammalia; Rodentia; Bathyergidae
Source: Rfam